Molecule: long non-coding RNA, 517 nt
Organism: Parus major (Great Tit)
Lineage: Eukaryota; Metazoa; Chordata; Aves; Passeriformes; Paridae
Source: Ensembl
CCUCAGUGCCUGCUGCACCCUCUGCUGUGAGAAACUCAUGUACAAUGUGCAUGAAGUCAGUGCCUUCAGGGAGGCCUUGAAGCUGUACAGGUUUUUCAAAGCUUCACUUGGGAAAUAAACCAAAACCCCACAGAAAGCAAACCCCCAAAACCCCAGAGGUGGCUGCUGGGGCAAGUAUCCAAGAAGAUGUUGGUGUUUGGAGCCCUGGUCAUCUUUCACUGCUGUUUCUGGCAGCUGCACUCGCUGCCUGCCUGUGGCUGCUGUCUGGUGUGGAGUGGCAGAGCUCCUGCUGGGAUCCCCAUCUGUGUGCUGAGCCUUGGAAGGCUCUUCCUUCCUAGCUGUCAGCUUCUGUGGGGUCUCACAUUACCUCCACCAUCACACCCUUGUGACAUGGGGAGAUGUUUCACUUGGAAGACAUCAAAGCAAGAUCACAACAGUUCUGAGGCUUGGACGUCAGCCUGCUCCAUAAUCAGAGGAAGCAAAAGGUGAAAUCCUUGAAUAAACCUUUUUAAAAGAC